Molecule: ribosomal RNA, 342 nt
Filed under: Triticum aestivum (bread wheat)
Lineage: Eukaryota; Viridiplantae; Streptophyta; Magnoliopsida; Poales; Poaceae
Description: partial small subunit ribosomal RNA
Source: RNAcentral
AUGUUAGCUCUGGAGGCGAUUUUUGGAGACAAGAUCUGCAUUUUUGGUGAAAAAAAGGCUGGACCUCGGUCUUUCCAGAUCCAGGUGUAUUGUGAAAUUCCAGAUGGUAUCACUGUAAUGUUAGAACCAUUCCAGGGUGAUGAUGACGACCCAAAGAGCCAGUUCCUUGAAAACUUCAGUGUCGAGCACUUGGCUCCGCUAUCACUGACAUGCCUCAUGCCUCCAUCGUACCCAAGCCAUCAUCCUCCACACUUCACUCUCGGUGUACAAUGGUUGGAUAAUGUGAAGGUCUCCUCCCUUUGUCACAUGCUCGACUCGAUCUGGGCGCAACAAGCUGAAUAG